RNAcentral lists this ribosomal RNA (319 nucleotides) under uncultured Actinomycetes bacterium. Its description in RNAcentral is "bacterial SSU rRNA". It matches the Rfam family "Bacterial small subunit ribosomal RNA", at positions 28 to 351 of the family's 1533-position model. Lineage: Bacteria; Bacillati; Actinomycetota; Actinomycetes. The record is from RNAcentral.
AACGAACGCUGGCGGCAGGCCUAACACAUGCAAGUCGAACGGUAAGGCCCUUCGGGGUACACGAGUGGCGAACGGGUGAGUAACACGUGGGUGAUCUGCCCUGCACUUCGGGAUAAGCCUGGGAAACUGGGUCUAAUACCGGAUAUGACCAUGCGCUUCACGGUGUGUGGUGGAAAGCUUUUGCGGUGUGGGAUGGGCCCGCGGCCUAUCAGCUUGUUGGUGGGGUAAUGGCCUACCAAGGCGACGACGGGUAGCCGGCCUGAGAGGGUGUCCGGCCACACUGGGACUGAGAUACGGCCCAGACUCCUACGGGAGGCUG